RNAcentral lists this ribosomal RNA (118 nucleotides) under Gossypium arboreum. Lineage: Eukaryota; Viridiplantae; Streptophyta; Magnoliopsida; Malvales; Malvaceae. The record is from RNAcentral.
GGGUGCGAUCAUACUAGCACUAAUGUAUUAGAUCCCAUCAGAACUCUGCAAUCAAGCGUGUUUCGGCGAGAGUAGUACGAGGAUGGGUGACCUCCUGGAAGUCUUUGUGUUGCACCCU